This 70-nucleotide transfer RNA is filed under the name Ceriagrion nipponicum. RNAcentral's name for it is "tRNA-Val". The record is from RNAcentral. Lineage: Eukaryota; Metazoa; Arthropoda; Insecta; Odonata; Coenagrionidae.
AAUGUAAGGUUAAUUCUUACAAAUAGUACUUGUUUAUCAAUGAUAUUUUAUUAAAUUUUUUGGGAGGUAU